GAUGAAGAACGCAGCGAAAUGCGAUAAGUAAUGUGAAUUGCAGAAUUCAGUGAAUCAUCGAAUCUUUGAACGCACAUUGCGCCCGCCAGUAUUCUGGCGGGCAUGCCUGUUCGAGCGUCAUUACAACCCUCAGGCCCCUGGGCCUGGCGUUGGGGAUCGGCGGAGCCCCCCGUGGGCACACGCCGUCCCCCAAAUACAGUGGCGGUCCCGCCGCAGCUUCCAUCGCGUAGUAGCUAACACCUCGCGACUGGAGAGCGGCGCGGCCACGCCGUAAAACACCCAACUCUUCUGAAGUUGACCUCGAAUCAGGUAGGAAUACCCGCUGAACUUAAGCAUAUCAAUAAGCGGAGGA
Molecule: unclassified non-coding RNA, 352 nt
Filed under: soil metagenome
Description: partial contains 5.8S ribosomal RNA, internal transcribed spacer 2, and large subunit ribosomal RNA
Rfam family: 5.8S ribosomal RNA (bases 1-120)
Source: RNAcentral